UGAGGAAUAUUGGUCAAUGGGCGAGAGCCUGAACCAGCCAAGUAGCGUGCAGGAUGACGGCUCUAUGGGUUGUAAACUGCUUUUAUGUGGGGAUAAAGUGCGUGACGUGUCAUGCAUUGCAGGUACCACAUGAAUAAGGACCGGCUAAUUCCGUGCCAGCAGCCGCGGUAAUACGGAAGGUCCGGGCGUUAUCCGGAUUUAUUGGGUUUAAAGGGAGCGUAGGCUGUCUAUUAAGCGUGUUGUGAAAAUUCCCGGCUCAACCGGUGGCUUGCAGCGCGAACUGGUCGACUUGAGUAUGCAGGAAGUAGGCGGAAUUCAUGGUGUAGCGGUGAAAUGCUUAGAUAUCAUGACGAACUCCGAUUGCGCAGGCAGCUUACUGUAGCAUAACUGACGCUGAUGCUCGAAAGUGCGGGUAUCAAACAGG
Molecule: ribosomal RNA, 424 nt
Filed under: Fusobacteriota bacterium
Lineage: Bacteria; Fusobacteriati; Fusobacteriota
Description: Fusobacteria bacterium partial 16S ribosomal RNA
Rfam family: Bacterial small subunit ribosomal RNA
Source: RNAcentral